CACCUCCCUCACGCUCUCAAAGCAGCGGCCUCAGCUCCUUUCCCCUGACCGCAGCAAACGCUAAAGCACCUUCCCCCGCCCCAACAACUCCCGACUGCAGCUGCAAGCUACCACACAGCUGCAAGCUACCACACAGCCGCCAGGGCCCGCUAAGUCCGUCAUCAGCCGCCCAGUCAUGGCGGGACGGGUGCCUAUGACCCGCGGAUCCCCUCUCCUCACGGAGAAGGACACCACCACCAAGCUACCACCGCAAGAGUUGUUGUGACAACCUGAAGAUGCUUCACAGCAAAAGUUCCCCAUCCUCCUGGAAAAUACUCCCUAUUUCAAAUUACCUGGCUUCAAGGUGGACCUGAGAAUCGUGUAGAACUCUUAAGGAUAUUAUUUCCCACAAGACCGGUGAGUUAAACUGCCUGUCACACCACAUCUGAAAACUAUUCCAUUCCUAAAGAAAUCCUGUGAAGCCCUUUUCCUAAAAGCUGCAAUCCUUUAAAGACUACUUGAAGAUGCAUCUUUUGGAUCACUACUUAUGGAAAAACUGCUGUGCUAUUUUAAGAAUCUUUCAUUUAUUUUUAAUUAAUUUUUGUCCUGCAUCUUUGGGUAAACAUUGGUGACAUUUCUCCAGGAGUGACCAGUACUGUACUGAAGCCCAUAUGCAACUAGCUUUUUUUAUUAAAACUUAAAAUGUGAGCAUCAGGAGCUCAGAAACUGAAAAACUAUAUUUCUCUCAGCUUUUCUAAUUAAUUACAUAAUGGACAGAUUGAAUGAGUAAACUGUCUGUUAUAUGUUUUUGUGAGAUUUCUUUUAGGAACUGUAGGAGAAAAGUUAUAUAGCACACACACACUCGCCCCCCCAAAAAUUGAAGCAAACCACUUAAAGCACUGACAUUCUGAUUUAUAAUUUCUCAGCAGAAGCAAUAGUGACUUGUACUUUAAUGUCUUUCACUGGAGAUAAAUCUGAGGUUGCUUGGCUCAGGCACAACUCUUCCCAGGGAAAAAAAGGCCAAAAGCCAAUUUACAGAAAGACGAGUUGAAUACUAAAACUCAAGAUGACAAGCUGACAGCCACUUGGCAUCUGCUCUCAGAUGGCAGCCAGCUGGCUUCUCACAACAGUAUAUGCACCAGAAACACUGUCAGGAAGAGCUUGCUGUGAAAGUCAAUGCAGUACAAGCAUAGAUGCAACAGCUCCUAUGAAGUUCCUCUUGCAUAAAGUCCACUAGCUUGGUGCAUCACAUCAGCAUUGUCCUAGCCCUUGUGUCUUUCCUCACAAUGCACAUGUCUCUCAAUACCUAUAAGGAGUUA
Pogoniulus pusillus (Red-fronted tinkerbird) is the source of this 1298-nucleotide long non-coding RNA. RefSeq lists it as uncharacterized. The transcript is spliced from 3 exons. NCBI's taxonomy places the organism in Eukaryota, Metazoa, Chordata, Aves, Piciformes, Lybiidae. The record is from RefSeq and is a predicted model, not a curated record.